UGGCUAGAAACUUCAAACGAGCUGAGAGAUUAAGAAGCGUUUAAUUUGAAAACACAUUUACGAGGAAAUAAUAUUUACAGUUGGCAAACAAGAUGUUUUGAAGAGUUUUUAAUUUUUGUAGAGAUCCAGUCAAACUACUUGUGUGUACUUUAUUUGGGCAUACAAUUCAUGAGGAAGAAACGACGAAAGGGCCUCAGAGGAGCGCGAUGGUCGCUCGCUGAGAGAACCGACUGCAUCUGUCGCCGUAAAAACUCUCUUUCCUCCUGGAGAACGUUCGGGACGAGCCUGAUGUUGGUUUCACAAGGCUGAAAAACCAACUUUCCAUGUCAUUACAGCACUGCCCUUUAGAAGCUACAGAAGAUACUUAGAUGUUUCCCAGAAGACAAAUUUACCCUGAUCUUCAAAUUCCAAAAGUUUUCACCCCCCGGCUCAUACUACGUCAUGUUUCCUUCUGGAGCAUCAGAGAGUGUCAGGGAUUUCAUCAACAAUAUCUUAAUUUGUGUUCUGAUGAUGAACUAAGGUUUUACGGCUUUGGAACGACAUGAUGGUGAGUAAUUAAUGACAAAAUAUUAAUUUUUGAGUGAACUAUCCCUUUAAAGCAAAUAACUAGUGUUUUGUUUGCAA
Molecule: long non-coding RNA, 624 nt
Organism: Labeo rohita (rohu)
Lineage: Eukaryota; Metazoa; Chordata; Actinopteri; Cypriniformes; Cyprinidae
Exons: 4
Source: RefSeq, a predicted model, not a curated record